AAUAGAUACCCAGGUAGUCCACUCCGUAAACGUUGGGAACUAGUUGUGGGGGCCUUUCUACGGUCUCCGUGACGCAGCUAACGCAUUAAGUUCCCCGCCUGGGGAGUACGGCCGCAAGGCUAAAACUCAAAGGAAUUGACGGGGACCCGCACAAGCGGCGGAGCAUGCGGAUUAAUUCGAUGCAACGCGAAGAACCUUACCAAGGCUUGACAUAUACCGGAAACGGCUGGAAACAGUCGCCCCCUUGUGGUCGGUAUACAGGUGGUGCAUGGUUGUCGUCAGCUCGUGUCGUGAGAUGUUGGGUUAAGUCCCGCAACGAGCGCAACCCUCGUUCUAUGUUGCCAGCACGUUAUGGUGGGAACUCAUGGAAUACUGCCGGGGUCAACUCGGAGGAAGGUGGGGAUGACGUCAAAUCAUCAUGCCCCUUAUGUCUUGGGCUUCACGCAUGCUACAAUGGCCGGUACAAUGGGCUGCGAUACCGCGAGGUGGAGCGAAUCCCAAAAAGCCGGUCCAGUUCGGAUUGUAGUCUGCAACGUCGACUACAU
This 545-nucleotide ribosomal RNA is filed under the name uncultured bacterium. Its description in RNAcentral is "bacterial SSU rRNA". It matches the Rfam family "Bacterial small subunit ribosomal RNA", at positions 777 to 1321 of the family's 1533-position model. The record is from RNAcentral.